RNAcentral lists this long non-coding RNA (633 nucleotides) under Homo sapiens (human). Its description in RNAcentral is "HSALNT0145599". Lineage: Eukaryota; Metazoa; Chordata; Mammalia; Primates; Hominidae. The record is from RNAcentral.
GUGGAUAAUCGGGAGGGAGAGUGGUCCAAGGUGGAUAAGUGGGAGGGGGAGCGGUCCAAGGUGGAUAAUGUGGAGGAAGGAGGGGUUCAAGGUGGAUAAUGCUGACGGGGAGCAGUCCAAGGUGGAUAAUGGGGAGGGGAGGAGUGACCCAAGGUGGAUAAUGGGGAGGCGGGUAGCGGCCCAAGGUGGAUAAUGCUGACGGGGGAGCGGUCCAAGGCGGAUAAUGGGGAGGGUGGAGUGAUCCAAGGUGGAUAAUGGGGAGAGAAAGUGACCCAGGGUGGAAAAUGGGGAAGGUGAGCGGUCCAAGUUGGAUAAUGGGGAAGGGGAGCAAGCCAAGGCAGAUAAUGGGGAGUGGGGAGUGGUCCAAGGCAGAUAAUGGGAUGUGGGGAACGGUCCAAGGUGGAUAAUGGGGAUGAGGGAAGAGGCCCAAGGUGGAUAAUGGGGAGGGUGAGCAGUCCAAAGUGGAUAACGGGGAAGAGGAAGCUGUCCAAGGUGGAUAAUGGAGAUGCGGAAAGGGGGGCGGGGUGGGGGGUUGUCCAAGGUGAAUAGUGGGGAGAGGGAGCAGUUCGAGGUGGAUAAUGGGGAGGAGGGAACAGUUCAAGGUGGAUAAUAGAGACACAGGAGGGGUCCAAG